Long non-coding RNA from Ctenocephalides felis (cat flea), 349 nucleotides. RefSeq lists it as uncharacterized. The record is from RefSeq and is a predicted model, not a curated record. NCBI's taxonomy places the organism in Eukaryota, Metazoa, Arthropoda, Insecta, Siphonaptera, Pulicidae. The transcript has 3 exons.
AUUUCAAAAAGAAGUUACUUCUAUAGAAUGGGACCAGCCUUCAACUAAGAAACCAGUCACUAUAAAAUGCAAGGAUAAUUCUGUUUACGAUGCUGAUCAUGUCAUUGUUACUGUACCUUUGGGAGUCCUCAAAAAUAACACAAGAUUAUUUCAACCAGCCUUGCCCGAAUAUAAACUUAAAUGCAUAGAUAAUCUAGGUUUUGGCGUCGUUGAUAAAAUAUAUCUUCGAUUUGAGUCAAAUUGGUGGCUUCCUGAUUGGAAUGGCAUCAGAUUAUUAUGGACUGCUGAUGAUAAGGAGAAUGAAGAACAUAAGUGGCUUAUUGAUGUAUUUGGCUUUUUUACUGUUGAC